GACAGAGGGUGCAACCGUUGUUCGGAAUUACUGGGCGUAAAGCGAGUGUAGGCGGUCCGAAAAGUCGGGUGUGAAAGCCCUGGGCUCAACCCAGGAAGUGCACUCGAAACUGCCGGGCUAGAGUACUGGAGAGGUUGGUGGAAUUCUCGGUGUAGAGGUGAAAUUCGUAGAUAUCGAGAGGAACACCGGUGGCGAAGGCGGCCAACUGGACAGAUACUGACGCUGAGACUCGAAAGCGUGGGGAGCGAACAGG
Molecule: ribosomal RNA, 253 nt
Filed under: uncultured bacterium
Lineage: Bacteria
Description: partial 16S ribosomal RNA
Rfam family: Bacterial small subunit ribosomal RNA
Source: RNAcentral